ACUCCUGCGGGAGGCAGCAGUGGGGAAUUUUGGACAAUGGGCGAAAGCCUGAUCCAGCAAUGCCGCGUGCAGGAUGAAGGCCUUCGGGUUGUAAACUGCUUUUGUACGGAACGAAAAAGCUCCUUCUAAUACAGGGGGCCCAUGACGGUACCGUAAGAAUAAGCACCGGCUAACUACGUGCCAGCAGCCGCGGUAAUACGUAGGGUGCGAGCGUUAAUCGGAAUUACUGGGCGUAAAGCGUGCGCAGGCGGUUAUGUAAGACAGAUGUGAAAUCCCCGGGCUCAACCUGGGAACUGCAUUUGUGACUGCAUGGCUAGAGUACGGUAGAGGGGGAUGGAAUUCCGCGUGUAGCAGUGAAAUGCGUAGAUAUGCGGAGGAACACCGAUGGCGAAGGCAAUCCCCUGGACCUGUACUGACGCUCAUGCACGAAAGCGUGGGGAGCAAACAGGAUUAGAUACCCGAGUAGUCCCAU
This 472-nucleotide ribosomal RNA is filed under the name uncultured organism. RNAcentral describes it as "partial 16S ribosomal RNA". It matches the Rfam family "Bacterial small subunit ribosomal RNA", at positions 335 to 798 of the family's 1533-position model. The record is from RNAcentral.